CAGUAGCCGCGGGAAUACGAAGGGGGCUAGCGUUGUUCGGAAUUACUGGGCGUAAAGGGCGCGUAGGCGGCCAUUCAAGUUAGAUGUGAAAGCCCUGGGCUCAACCUAGGAAUUGCAUUUGAUACUGUUUGGCUUGAGUUCGGGAGAGGUGAGUGGAAUUCCCAGUGUGGAGGUGAAAUUCGUAGAUAUUGGGAAGAACACCAGUGGCGAAGGCGGCUACCUGGAUUGACACUGACACUGAGGCGCGAGAGCGUGGGGAGCAAACAGGAUUAGAUACCUCUGUAGUCCCUGUCUCUUAUAC
Molecule: ribosomal RNA, 301 nt
Filed under: uncultured bacterium
Lineage: Bacteria
Description: partial 16S ribosomal RNA
Rfam family: Bacterial small subunit ribosomal RNA
Source: RNAcentral